This 517-nucleotide small RNA is filed under the name Pongo abelii (Sumatran orangutan). RNAcentral's name for it is "processed transcript". Lineage: Eukaryota; Metazoa; Chordata; Mammalia; Primates; Hominidae. The record is from RNAcentral.
GUUUGUGCUGGGAGCUGGUGGCGCGGUGCAGGGCUCUUAAGAACGAACGGCUUGGGCGCGGACUGGUAUCCGGGGACUGUGACUUGCAGGGUCCGCCAUGGAGCCAGAGCAGAUGCUGGAGGGACAAACGCAGGUUGCAGAAAAUCCUCACUCUGAGUACGGUCUCACAGACAACGUUGAGAGGAUAGUAGAAAAUGAGAAGAUUAAUGCAGAAAAGUCAUCAAAGCAAAAGGUAGAUCUCCAGUCUUUGCCAACUCGUGCCUACCUGGAUCAGACAGUUGUGCCUAUCUUAUUACAGGGACUUGCUGUGCUUGCAAAGGAAAGAUGAGGAAACAGACUUGGAGAGGUUAAGUGACAUGCUCAAGACAACACUGCUGGAUCUUGCUACGUACGUUGCCCAGGUUGGAAUGCGGUGGCGUGAUCAUGGCUCACUGUAGCCUCGACCUCCUGGGCUCAAGUGAUCCUCCCUCCUCCGCCUACCAAGUAGCUAGGGGCGAAGCCACCACACCCGGAUAAU